AGAAUGCAUCAUCAUUAUUUAUGACAGAUUGAUAUUUAAAAAAAAAAUGCGUAGUUAGUGAGAAAGGUAAGAGCGAAAAGCAUAAAAGAAAUUGAAAGCCCUAAAGAAAUAAACAAAGCAAGAAGAAAGCAUGGGAACUCCAGAGACUUCAAGGGAACCAUGCCCUGAUCGUAUCCUCGACGACAUAGGCGGUGCUUUCGGCAUGGGUGCCGUUGGUGGCUCCGCUUUCCACUUCCUCAAAGGUCUCUACAACUCCCCCAAGGGUGCUCGCUUCAUCGGCGCCUCACAAGCCGUUCGUCUCAACGCCCCUCGUGUCGGCGGCAGUUUUGCCGUCUGGGGAGGUCUCUUCUCUUCCUUCGACUGUACCAUGGUUUACCUCCGUCAAAAAGAAGAUCCUUGGAAUUCCAUCUUCGCCGGCGCCGCUACAGGUGGUUUCCUCUCCAUGCGCCAAGGCUUAGCCGCUUCGGCUCGCUCGGCUGCGUUUGGUGGCGUUCUAUUGGCUCUUAUUGAAGGAGCUGGAAUCAUGCUUAAUAAAUUUCUUAGCGCGCAGCAGCAGAUGCCGGUUAUCAUGGAUGAGCCGCUUCCUGGAGGGUAUCCCAAUGGCGGUUUUCCCGGUCUACAGGCUCCGCCGACUGUUGAGCCUGAAUCUCAAUCGUGGUUCGGUGGGUGGUUCGGUGAAGGUAAGAAGAAGGAUGAAGCUGCUUCUGCUGGUGGUGGAAGUGAGACCAAGAUUUUGGAGAGUUUUGAUGCCCCUCCUGUGCCCAAGUUCGAGUACAAGUGAAUUUGAUUUUGGGUUAAACGUUAGGAUUGCAUGCUUGAAUAGUGGAUGUCACCGGUUAAUCUUACUGGACAACACAGUAAGGUGCUAAAUGAGAGUAAGAGGCCUCUUUGAGCGUCUGAGCAUGAUGCUUCUGUUAGGAGGGAAGAUUGAAGGGGGAUUGUUUGGUUGAUAAUGCUUCCCCAUACCUGGUUUCGAAUGGUUAUGCAACAGAAUUACAUUCUGAAGUGUCAGUGCAUUGCAGAGUUGGUAGCCAUGCUUAUUGCAUUGGUAAGUAAAUUGGCGGAGACAGAAAUUAAGAGUGCAGUGUUCUAUGGUGGUGGGUGGCAAGUACAAGUAUGUGCCUAACAUGGUCCCCGUCGUGUGCAUCAGAUAACUGUCUAACUUAAAAUGUCAGGGCAACAUUCUUUUGUAGGAUUUAGUAGGUGAUUGACUAAGGAGAGGUGGCUGAAUUUUGGUUGGAUCUAUGGCUGUCUCUAGACCGUUGAAUGUCAAGCUGGAGUUGCAUUUUUUUGGAUGGAUACUCAUACACCUCUCUAAGAGACAUUUCUCUCGGGUGAGCUCUACAAAAUAAACUAAUAUGUUACUUCUUGGAAAGCUAACACAUGUUAAACACCGUACUUAGGGCAAUAUUUGACAUUGGGAGGCUAACCAAAGAGUCUCUUGUUUUUGUGAAGGAAGGUGCGUGAAAGGUAGUCAGUCUCAAGACAAAUGAGACAAGGGUUAUUUAUGGUCUCCCUUUAGAUGUUACUUGUUGGAGUAUGCCUUCCAUGUACUUUUAAAUUGUAUCCUAAUUUGUCCCAUAUAAGAUGCCCCAAUCGCCCACAUUGCUUUCA
Cicer arietinum (chickpea) is the source of this 1614-nucleotide non-coding RNA. The record is from RefSeq and is a predicted model, not a curated record. NCBI's taxonomy places the organism in Eukaryota, Viridiplantae, Streptophyta, Magnoliopsida, Fabales, Fabaceae.